This 71-nucleotide transfer RNA is filed under the name Heosemys annandalii (Yellow-headed temple turtle). RNAcentral describes it as "tRNA-Thr". It matches the Rfam family "tRNA". From Rfam's summary of the family: Transfer RNA (tRNA) molecules are approximately 80 nucleotides in length. Their secondary structure includes four short double-helical elements and three loops (D, anti-codon, and T loops). Lineage: Eukaryota; Metazoa; Chordata; Testudines; Geoemydidae. The record is from RNAcentral.
AUUCUAGUAGCUUAACCACAAAGCAUUGGUCUUGUAAACCAAAGAUUGAAGACUACAAUCUUCCCAGAAUA